AUUGAACGCUGGCGGCAUGCUUUACACAUGCAAGUCGAACGGCAGCGCGGGCUUCGGCCUGGCGGCGAGUGGCGAACGGGUGAGUAAUGCAUCGGAACGUGCCCAGUAGUGGGGGAUAGCCCGGCGAAAGCCGGAUUAAUACCGCAUACGACCUGAGGGUGAAAGCGGGGGACCGAAAGGCCUCGCGCUAUUGGAGCGGCCGAUGUCGGAUUAGCUAGUUGGUGGGGUAAAGGCUUACCAAGGCGACGAUCCGUAGCUGGUCUGAGAGGACGACCAGCCACACUGGGACUGAGACACGGCCCAGACUCCUACGAGAGGCAGCAGUGGGGAAUUUUGGACAAUGGGGGCAACCCUGAUCCAGCCAUGCCGCGUGAGGGAAGAAGGCCUUCGGGUUGUAAACCGCUUUUGUUCGGGAAGAAAUCCUCUGGGCUAAUACCCCGGGGGGAUGACGGUACCGGAAGAAUAAGCACCGGCUAACUACGUG
Molecule: ribosomal RNA, 484 nt
Filed under: uncultured bacterium
Lineage: Bacteria
Description: partial 16S ribosomal RNA
Rfam family: Bacterial small subunit ribosomal RNA
Source: RNAcentral